RNAcentral lists this ribosomal RNA (1528 nucleotides) under Klebsiella pneumoniae. RNAcentral's name for it is "bacterial SSU rRNA". It matches the Rfam family "Bacterial small subunit ribosomal RNA". The record is from RNAcentral. Lineage: Bacteria; Pseudomonadati; Pseudomonadota; Gammaproteobacteria; Enterobacterales; Enterobacteriaceae.
AGAGUUUGAUCAUGGCUCAGAUUGAACGCUGGCGGCAGGCCUAACACAUGCAAGUCGAGCGGUAGCACAGAGAGCUUGCUCUCGGGUGACGAGCGGCGGACGGGUGAGUAAUGUCUGGGAAACUGCCUGAUGGAGGGGGAUAACUACUGGAAACGGUAGCUAAUACCGCAUAACGUCGCAAGACCAAAGUGGGGGACCUUCGGGCCUCAUGCCAUCAGAUGUGCCCAGAUGGGAUUAGCUAGUAGGUGGGGUAACGGCUCACCUAGGCGACGAUCCCUAGCUGGUCUGAGAGGAUGACCAGCCACACUGGAACUGAGACACGGUCCAGACUCCUACGGGAGGCAGCAGUGGGGAAUAUUGCACAAUGGGCGCAAGCCUGAUGCAGCCAUGCCGCGUGUGUGAAGAAGGCCUUCGGGUUGUAAAGCACUUUCAGCGGGGAGGAAGGCGGUAAGGUUAAUAACCUCAUCGAUUGACGUUACCCGCAGAAGAAGCACCGGCUAACUCCGUGCCAGCAGCCGCGGUAAUACGGAGGGUGCAAGCGUUAAUCGGAAUUACUGGGCGUAAAGCGCACGCAGGCGGUCUGUCAAGUCGGAUGUGAAAUCCCCGGGCUCAACCUGGGAACUGCAUUCGAAACUGGCAGGCUAGAGUCUUGUAGAGGGGGGUAGAAUUCCAGGUGUAGCGGUGAAAUGCGUAGAGAUCUGGAGGAAUACCGGUGGCGAAGGCGGCCCCCUGGACAAAGACUGACGCUCAGGUGCGAAAGCGUGGGGAGCAAACAGGAUUAGAUACCCUGGUAGUCCACGCCGUAAACGAUGUCGAUUUGGAGGUUGUGCCCUUGAGGCGUGGCUUCCGGAGCUAACGCGUUAAAUCGACCGCCUGGGGAGUACGGCCGCAAGGUUAAAACUCAAAUGAAUUGACGGGGGCCCGCACAAGCGGUGGAGCAUGUGGUUUAAUUCGAUGCAACGCGAAGAACCUUACCUGGUCUUGACAUCCACAGAACUUAGCAGAGAUGCUUUGGUGCCUUCGGGAACUGUGAGACAGGUGCUGCAUGGCUGUCGUCAGCUCGUGUUGUGAAAUGUUGGGUUAAGUCCCGCAACGAGCGCAACCCUUAUCCUUUGUUGCCAGCGGUUCGGCCGGGAACUCAAAGGAGACUGCCAGUGAUAAACUGGAGGAAGGUGGGGAUGACGUCAAGUCAUCAUGGCCCUUACGACCAGGGCUACACACGUGCUACAAUGGCAUAUACAAAGAGAAGCGACCUCGCGAGAGCAAGCGGACCUCAUAAAGUAUGUCGUAGUCCGGAUUGGAGUCUGCAACUCGACUCCAUGAAGUCGGAAUCGCUAGUAAUCGUAGAUCAGAAUGCUACGGUGAAUACGUUCCCGGGCCUUGUACACACCGCCCGUCACACCAUGGGAGUGGGUUGCAAAAGAAGUAGGUAGCUUAACCUUCGGGAGGGCGCUUACCACUUUGUGAUUCAUGACUGGGGUGAAGUCGUAACAAGGUAACCGUAGGGGAACCUGCGGUUGGAUCACCU